ACAGAAAAAAAAUACAGAUUUAUACUGAUAAGCGUAUUUUAAUAUGGUUGUUUUGGUCUUCACAAAAAGAACAGAAAAGAAAAAAAAGGAAAGAAGAGAGUACAAUUGAGGUAAUCUGUGGUAUAGACUAAUGCCAGGGGAUUUCAACACUCUAAACACAUGCUUUUUUAACCUUUCCCUCUUUAUGCAGCAUUUUCUUGGGCCUUUUUCUUCAUAACAAAGCCAUGGCACUUCCUGCUGCAUUCCCCAUGAUAAAGGCAUAUGGAUCUGGGAGAAAUGAAGGGGAAGUGAAAGUAAUGCAGUUAAGUCCUACAGGUGCCUGGAAGAGAAGACAGAUUGAAAUAAAGAAAUGACCCCUUUUCAGGACUUAUUCAGACCUGCUGAAAGAAACACCCACAAUUCAUCUUGACUGCAUGAUGUAAGAAAUGAAGAACUUUGAAGAAAGACAUCAGAGCAACUGGAAGAGCAGACAAAAUGUAUUAUGGCAUGAAAGAGAUUUCAGCUGCAAGCAUCCCAUUUAGUAAUUUUGUAUAUUCUGUCAUUCCUCCUCUGAAAAAAUGUCGUUUUUUGGGGUUUGUGUGUGUGUGUGUGUGUGUGUGUGUGUG
Non-coding RNA from Anas platyrhynchos (mallard), 605 nucleotides. Lineage: Eukaryota; Metazoa; Chordata; Aves; Anseriformes; Anatidae. The record is from RefSeq and is a predicted model, not a curated record.